CCCGCUUGCCGGGCUGUCACCGUCUCAUCUGCAUAGGCGCCCGCCCAUUGGGCCGCCCACCCGCGCCUUAUCUGCAUGGCCACGCCCCCGGCGACCGAGCAACAGCCGCCUAUUGGCGAAUAAGCUUCCUGACGAAGACUCUCGGGCGUGCAACCGCACCGCCCAACACGACGCAUGCUCGCAACUGCCUACUCACUCCGCUCGCCACGCCCCCUCCGUGCAACUGCCUCGGGGCCCUGGCCACGCCCCACCACGCGUCACAAUGAAACAAGCCCGCCCUUGCUUCAAUGCCAUUGGUCUGUGCCUGGCCGGUCCUGCAGCAGGUUCCACCCUCUUGCGGGCGAGCUCUGGCUACCAUUGGACUGUCCGGCGCGAGGGGAAGGGUGAUCUAUAAAUAGAGAAUGGGUACACGUGACAGUUUGGCAGCUGCUCCUACCCCUCCACCCCGCCCAACCUUCAGCUUCUGAGGCUGCGCAGGGGGAGAAAAGGGUUAGGGGGUCGAGCCCUGACUUCGCCUCCUCUUCCAAGAAGCCUUCCUAGACACUCAGCUGUAAAACCAGACGGACGUCCUCCGAUAAAAUUGUUUCUACUUAGGGCCGGCUUCACCGGCUUGGAAUCCACUUAGAAGGGUCUUCGCGCUUGGUUGAAUGUUCUGCAAUUUCUGUCUUGAAAUUUUUAGUUUUUGAGCAAGGGGCCCCUUAUUUUCACUUUGCACUAGGCCAAAUAUGUAGCCGGUCUUGCUGCUAAGAGUCUAAGAUCGAUUGCAUUCCAAAUUCUGGAAUUAUAAGACCCUGGGUGGAAGAUUCUAUGCUUUGACCAGAAGAGAGUCUAAGCAGCUUUUGUCUCCCAGGUGCUAGGAGGAUGUGUGCUCAUCAUUCUUCCAUUCCAGGGGCCUUUGUUCUACGUUCUAAGGGGCUUUGUUCUCAGCCUUCUAUGAUGCUCUAUUCUCAACGUUCUCUGGUCCUAGGAGUCUGAGCCUGACAUUCGUUUCCAAGGCUUCCUGCUGUCUCUCCAGGCUCCGCAAGCAGGGCUGGGGCACCCUCAGGCGGCCAAUCUGUAUCACUACGCCGAGCCUGCCUCUACCAACUUCCAAGACCUAGCUCUAAUAUUCACACUCAUCUCUCAGACAGACCUUGGCUCCCUAAAAGCCAAGGCCCAGAAGAUCAUACAAGAAAUUCCCUCUUUUAUGAUUCCCCGUGCACGAAGUGACCUUCUGGUGGUGAGAUGGAGAGAAAUUGAUAGUGGCGAUAGACAGCAAAGUCUCCAGGAGCCAGACUUCCUCGGGAAACUUGGGGCAUGUGUGGAGUGUGAGUGAGUGAGCUGCUGGAAUGAAUUGACCAGACAGGACAUCAUCUAUGUAUGGGAUUAGAAUGGAAUUACGGGAGAAAACCAAAUCCCUCAAAUUAGCAUUCAGGAUCGGAAAAAAAAGCUAUGUUGCCCAAACUGGACUCGAACUCCUGGACUCCAGCGAUCCUCCCACCUCAGCCGCUUAAGUAGCUGGGAAUACAGUCACCCGCCACCAUGCCCAGCUUUCAGGGAAGGUGCCGCUGAGGCUGACGUACAUGAUCACGCCCACUGACCACAUGUCCAGCGAGCGGUUGUAGCCCUGGUUGAGCAGCACCUCGGGCGCCAGGUAGGCCGGCGUGCCCACCACUGAGCGGCGGAACGACUUCUCGCCGAUGAUGCGAGCAAAGCCAAAGUCACACAGCUUCACCUGCAGAGGGCAAGGGAUGGAGGCUCCACCAGGUGAUGGAGCCGCACCCGCCCCAGCAUCCCCACCACACCACCCUCCAUGGUAUUCCAGAGAAAGCUGGAUGCUGGUUUGAAUCCAGGCUCCUCGGCUCACUAGCUGAGCAACCCUGGGCAGGUGACAUCCCCCCUCUGUGCCUCAGUUUCCCCAUCUAUAGGAAGAAGAGCAGAAGAGCACCUAUCUCAGAGGACUGCCAUGAUGGUUAGUGAAUUAAACCAUCCAAAGCCCACAGGACAAUAUUUGGCAUUCAGUUGGUGCACAAUAAAUGCUAGCUGCUGCUAUACCUCUGCCACCUCCAAUGGGUCGCUGUUUCCUCUUUUGAAUAAUGCAGAUUUUUAAAAAUAGCCUCAAAAUAUACAUGAUUGGGGCGUGGUGGCUCAUGCCUGCAAUCUCAGCACUUUGGG
This 2154-nucleotide long non-coding RNA is filed under the name Pan troglodytes (chimpanzee). RNAcentral's name for it is "long non-coding RNA NONPTRT008158". Lineage: Eukaryota; Metazoa; Chordata; Mammalia; Primates; Hominidae. The record is from RNAcentral.